AUGGAAACUACAAGCGUCAUGGCGCAAAU
RNAcentral lists this small RNA (29 nucleotides) under Bombyx mori (domestic silkworm). Its description in RNAcentral is "ovarian small RNA-12612". Lineage: Eukaryota; Metazoa; Arthropoda; Insecta; Lepidoptera; Bombycidae. The record is from RNAcentral.